UAGUACGGCGAGUGAAGAGGGAAGGGCCCAAGAUUGAAAGCUGGCGCCUUCGGCGUCCGCAUUGUAAUCUCAAGAAGUGUUUUCCGCUUCGGACCAUGCCUAAGUCCCUUGGAAAAGGGCAUCAUAGAGGGUGAUAAUCCCGUACAUGGCAUGGAGCGCCCGAAGCUUUGUGAUACGCUUUCUAAGAGUCGAGUUGUUUGGGGAUGCAGCUCAAAAUGGGUGGUAAAUGCCAUCUAAGGCUAAAUAUUGGGGAGAGACCGAUAGCGAACAAGUACAGUGAUGGAAAGAUGAAAAGAACUUUGAAAAGAGAGUUAAACAGUACGUGAAAUUGCCAAAAGGGAAGGGUAGGAGGUCAGAGAUGCGUCGCAGGAUUCAGCCUUGCUUUUGCUUGGUGAUUUUCCUGCGUUGCAGGCCAACGUCGGUUUUGGGCACUGGAGAAGGGUAGGAGGAACGUGGCACCUCUCGGGGUGUGUUAUAGCCUCCUACUGGAUACAGCGACCGAGACCGAGGAACGCAGCGUACUCGUAAGAGCGGGCCUUUUGGCACCUUUACGCUUAGGGCGUUGGCAUAAUGGCCCUCUACCACCCGUCUA
Molecule: ribosomal RNA, 592 nt
Filed under: uncultured Pseudozyma
Lineage: Eukaryota; Fungi; Basidiomycota; Ustilaginomycetes; Ustilaginales; Ustilaginaceae
Description: LSU rRNA
Rfam family: Eukaryotic large subunit ribosomal RNA
Source: RNAcentral